GCAGAGGGCCCUUAUAGGGAGAUCCAUCUGUAUCUUCUUCAGUGCCCCUCUAGUAGAGGCUGUGGGUUGAUGUGUGGGCCCUACGAUGAGAUCCAGGGAAAGGCCCCCAGCUCCUGGCCUGCUCUCAGCCUGUGUGAUGAUAAACACCACUGCUCCGGGUGUACGUUCUUCAUCCCUGGGGUGGAGUUAGGAUGUGUGACUAGGAAGACUUGCUAGAUCAUGGAGGGACCAGGCUGCUGGGCCUCAACCUGACCAGCAUCUCCACGCCCCGCCCCACUCCAGCCAGUGUAGGGAGCUCUGCGGUGAUGAGCACGGCCAUCAUGGCAACGCUGCUGCUCUUCAAGCAUCAGAAGCUCCUGGGGGAGUUCUCCUGGCUGACGGAGGAGAUACUGUUGCGUGGCUUUGAUGUAGGCUUCUCUGGGCAGCUGCGGAGCCUGCUGCAGCACUCACUGAGCCUGCUGCGGGCGCACGUGGCCCUGCUGCGCAUCUGCCAGGGCGACUUGCUGGUGGUGCCGCGGCCUGGCCCAGGCCUCACACACCUGGCACAACUGAGUGCUGAGCUUCUGCCCGUCUUCCUGAGCGAGGCUGUGGGCGCCUGUGCAGUGCGGGGGCUGCUGGCAGGCAGAGUGCCGCCCCAGGGGCCCUGGGAGCUGCAGGGCAUAUUGCUGCUGAGCCAGAAUGAGCUGUACCGCCAGAUCCUGCUGCUGAUGCACCUGCUGCCACAAGACCUGCUGCUGCUAAAGGUCAGGCCUCCCCUACGGCCCACUUGGUCCUAGGCCUUCCCCUCUUGGUGGUAGGAAUGGCCCAUCCCUGCCCAUGCUCUACCUCUGAAACCUCCUGGGUGGUAGGUGUGGCCUUGCCCGGUCUUUGGCUAGGCCCCUGCCCAUGUGCCUGGCUCUCCUGAGGCCACAUGGGUGCCUUUUCUCCCAGCCCUGCCAGUCUUCCUACUGCUACUGUCAGGAGGUGCUGGACCGGCUCAU
This 980-nucleotide long non-coding RNA is filed under the name Pan paniscus (pygmy chimpanzee). Its description in RNAcentral is "lncRNA (ENSPPAG00000045564.1)". The record is from RNAcentral. Lineage: Eukaryota; Metazoa; Chordata; Mammalia; Primates; Hominidae.